This 355-nucleotide ribosomal RNA is filed under the name uncultured bacterium. RNAcentral's name for it is "bacterial SSU rRNA". It matches the Rfam family "Bacterial small subunit ribosomal RNA", at positions 30 to 394 of the family's 1533-position model. The record is from RNAcentral.
AUUGAACGCUGGCGGCAGGCCUAACACAUGCAAGUCGAGCGGGGUUUUCGGACCUAGCGGCGGACGGGUGAGUAAUGCGUAGGAAGCUACCCGAUAGAGGGGGAUACCAGUUGGAAACGACUGUUAAUACCCGCAUAAUGUCUACGGACCAAAGUGUGGGACCUUCGGGCCACAUGCUAUCGGAUGCGCCUACGUGGGAUUAGCUAGUUGGUGAGGUAAUGGCUCACCAAGGCGACGAUCUCUAGCUGGUUUGAGAGGAUGAUCAGCCACACUGGAACUGAGACACGGUCCAGACUCCUACCGGGAGGCAGCAGUGGGGGAAUAUUGGACAAUGGGNGCAAGCCUGAUCCAGCCA